CUGAGACUCGGCAGAGGCAACACCGUGAAACUUCCAAGCCGAAGCAAUAUCAUGGCUCCCUUCAACAAUGGCCGAUCAUGCUUUGUUGCAGAUGAUGAUGUUUCUGAGGGCUCGGAAACAGCGUCCUUCAUAAGGUAACUGUGCAGGUCCUGAAAACCAGCUCACACGCAGCAGUUUCUUCAGAACUUUUAAGCAGGGCCUUUUGGCACUCACACACAAACUGGAACAAGCCUUGUAAAGCAAACUAGAGAGGUUAUCACUCAAGGAAGAAAGAAAA
This is a long non-coding RNA of Triticum aestivum (bread wheat), 277 nucleotides long. RefSeq lists it as uncharacterized. Lineage: Eukaryota; Viridiplantae; Streptophyta; Magnoliopsida; Poales; Poaceae. The record is from RefSeq and is a predicted model, not a curated record. The transcript is spliced from 2 exons.